Mustela lutreola (European mink) is the source of this 5649-nucleotide RNA transcript. It is a transcript of the gene named androgen dependent TFPI regulating protein, with no coding region annotated. The transcript is spliced from 9 exons. NCBI's taxonomy places the organism in Eukaryota, Metazoa, Chordata, Mammalia, Carnivora, Mustelidae. The record is from RefSeq and is a predicted model, not a curated record.
UCAGGUGCCUUCUGCUGAGCCUGAGCAGGGCCCAGUUCUGCAAAUUCUGCCCAGCCUAAGCACAUUCUCAUCCUCUCUAAGGCAAUGCAGAGACCCCCCACUCUUUCCCAGCAAUGUCUAAACUCAGACGGACACCAGAGGAAAGCUACCUGAGUCAUCACGGCUCCCUGGUCAGAGCUAGCCAUGACGAGGAUUUGUACCUGCGUAUACCACUUCCUUGUUUUGAGCUGGUAUAUUUUUCUCAAUUAUUACAUCUCACAACAAGGAGGAGACCAGCGGAAAUCCAAAGUCUUUCUCAAUGGCGGACAGUGGAAGUACUUGACAUUCCUAAAUCUGCUCUUGCAGGCCAUUUUCUACGGGGUCGUCUGUGUGGAAGAUGUACUAAAAAGAAUUAAGGGGGAAAAAGACAUUAAGUUCAUGACCGCCUUCAGAGACCUGCUUUUUACCACGCUGGCUUUCCCAAUCUCCACAUUUGUGUUUUUGUCGUUCUGGAUCCUCUUUCUCUACGAUCGAGAGCUUGUUUACCCUAAGGCCUUAGAUGGUAUCUUUCCAGUGUGGUUGAAUCAUGCCAUGCACACAUCCAUCCUGCCCUUUGCACUGGCGGAAGUCAUCCUCAGCCCGCACUGCUAUCCACGGAAGAAGGAAGGUCUCACCUUGUUGGCUCUCGCUAGUCUUGUGUACAUCAGCAGGGUCCUGUGGAUCUACUCUGAGACGGGUACGUGGGUGUAUCCUGUCUUAGCCAAACUCAGCCCGGUGGGUCUAACAGCCUUCUUCUCUCUCAGCUACGUCUUUAGUGCUGGCAUCUAUCUACUUGGAGAGAAGCUCAACUACUGGAAAUGGGACGCAAGACUGCUGACAUCAAGACAGGAGUUCCUCAGAAAGAAAAACACAACCUAAAGAAUCUAUCAGGCACAAAAAGGAACUAAGUGCUCCCAGAUGGACAUGGCAGGGCCCCUUCUAGGUGACAUGAUGAAGCCAAGGAAGAAGAGGAAGUGAUCCCAGGCGGUUUUCCAAGAACAAAGGAGGAAGAAAACAUGAGAGUUUCAUUUCUAUUUCUUUUCUUUUCUUUUCUUUUCUUUUCUUUGCUUUUCUUUUCUUUUCUUUUCUUUUCUUUUCUUUUCGGGUUGAGGGAGGUGGUGGAGCAACAUAGGAAGGUAGAAAGGACAGUGAAUGACAUUUAAAUUUAAUAAGAGUGUUUAUGAAGGUAGCUUAAUGUGGGGACUCUGGGGUUUUUUUGUUUUGUUUUGUUUUGUUUUGCAAGUUUACUGGACAUGCCAAAAACAACAACUUCUGUCUCAGAAUCUGUUACCUUUAUCUGGCCUCUGUGGUGAAAAUCUGCCAAAGUCCAAGGAAAUUCACGUAAACUCAACAUUAGAGAAUGUUUAGAGAGAGAAAGGGAUUUGGCAUCACCAAAACUCUUCACCUUACAGAGGAGGGUGUUGAGGACCUAGCUGGGAAGUAAUCUGCACGAGGGCCAAGGAGCUAGUAUCACGACUAAGGUGACGGCAUUUGUCCCCCUGAUCUUCUAACUCCCAGUCCUAUGCCAUUUUUAAUGAGUCCAACUUUUCUAAAAUCAAGUGUUUUCAUCAACUAGCUAUUUUCAUGGACUGCUCAUCUAUUUUGUUUUCCUCAGUCGAGACAGAGAUGUAGGGAGAUGGAUGCUACCGAAGUCAUCUGUCCACCUGAUCAGAGAGCAAAUUAAUUGGGCAAUGAGAAAGUAAGUUAUAAAAAUUAUGGAGAAAUCUGCCCCUCUUGUGAGCAAAUAUGGGGUUUUGCGACAUCAUCAUCGAAAUCUCUUCCAUUCGAAUAUUGCUUCCUUCGUCAAAUGCACACCACUCUUGGGGAGUAAGUGAUGGGAAGUGACAUGGCUAUGAGGAUCCCUGAGAAUGCUUUGAUACAUUUGAUACAGUUAGCUUAUGCUUUAACAAAGCUGAUGGCUAGGGGAUUAACACAUUCACGAACUCUGCUCUGAUCUUCCCAGGAAAUUUUCCUGGGUGUUUAUUCACAGGCACAUUUUGUAAAGAACGUGGAUGAUAAGGGUCUACUGGUGGGUAAGCAUGGAGUCCAGUGGUGCGUCACCAGGGUCGUGUGGGCUGGGUGUGGGCAGCAGAGUAAAUUGUAUUUGGGUUUCCCAACCUAACACCAUGCAGGAGAAAUUUGGCAAAAAUGGUAAAAUUUGGUAAAACCUAUUCCUAGAACCACAUCAGAACUUGAUGGCUCUAUGACUGGCCACUGUGCCAUAUCUAUUCCAAGACCAGAAAACCUCAGAAAUACCAAAAACAGUCUUGAGUUAGAGAAGAGGGCAGACUGCCACAACUGGGCAGGCAGCGCCAGGAUGCCUAGGACAGGCACCAACAAACCUGCUAUCUUCCUAAUCCUUUAUCUACUAAUAUAUAAACAUGAGCCGCAAGUCUUUUUGGAUUGAACUGUGGCUGCUUGAGUGCUCAGAACACCUGGUCUAAGCAGGAGCCCAGAAGCAGUUGUCACAGUGGAAAUUCCCCAAACACGAAGCCCACAGGGGAUCACCCAAAUUUUCCACACCCCAAAGGUGACUGGGGCUGCAUACUUCUUAGAGUGAUAGUAAGCUCCUGGUGGGGAUGAACCUGCAGAAUUCUAUUUGUGGCUUCACUGUCCCUGGAACCAAAUUAAACCUUGAUUUUUGUAUGAUUGACCAUCCUGCAGGAUCCAUUCCAAUGCCAGAAAUACCUGAGAACCACCUCCCACUGAGCAAAUACACCAGUAGGCUUCCUCACCAAUAAUCCUUCCCGUCGCAGAAGCUGAGGUGGUCAACAUGAGAGCUACUGUUUCACUGAAGAUAUUCUCUCCACGUUAAAUCCCAGAAUCCUGUUACCAGUGGUGAUCAACUUAUAGUUCCACGGGACUCAGCAGCGGAAAACCCACUGACAGAAUGGAAUAUAGAGCAAGUAAAUUUUGAAAAAAAGGAAAAGCAGAUGAGGAAUGGCCUGGAGAAUAAACACCGCAUGUGAGUGGAGCUCCAGACGGAUUGACUGGACAGUCCAGAUGACCCUAAAGAGUGCCUACAGGGUACAGAUCCAAAUCAGGGAGACUGGUCCCCAAAAGAGAAUUGGGAGCAGGAGAGCAUUGAAGACAAAUUCUGUUGACAUCAGAAUUUAUUUUCUUUCAGGUGCCUGCUUGGCCCUUUCUUACAGAUGAUAGCUCUUAGCAUUAGGAUUUGGUCUAGUCUGACUCUUCUUUGUCUUGAGACUUCUUUAACCAUUUCCAUGGUAUGGCAGGGACCAUGGAAAGGGUCUCUGUUCUUACUGCCACUCCAGAUAUCUUACUAAUGUACAAAAAAAGUCCCUCACCAUUGAUAAAGUAUUCCACUGAACAUGGAGAGACCCAUCUAACUCAUAAAUGAGAGAGGUAACUGUUGACUUACACUCAUUCGUAUUCAAUGAUCAAUGAAGGAUAUUUGAUGACUUGAAAGCAAGUAAUAUGGGAAAAAGUAUGCUUAGCAGAGUGAAAAUGAGGAUAUUGGAAAUAAAGAGGUUCAGAAAGGGUCAGCUGCAGACCCCAAGAACAAACCUUACCUAGUUCACAAGUUUUUAUCACAUGAAUGGCCAAGAGAUGACUGGUUAUGGGUCCUGGCUCUCCAUCUCACUCUGAGGGAGAUGAUUUAUGGUCAGUGUACAACCAAGAGAACUGGACAGUGAUCUUGGCCACUGGUGGGUCAACAAAAUUCUGCAUGCCUUUGGAGGAGUGGAAAGAAGAGGCAUGGAGAACGACUGGAGACAUGUCAUUCUUCAUAUUUCCAGUCUUGGUUAUCUGGCUGGCACUACAGGAAUUUCAAUUUACUCUGGAACUGGAGAGAGGACUUAGUGUUGGAUUGUCACCAUUCUUAAAAAGAGAGGAGGCAGGCAAAGAAAAAUUUGGAUUACGUUGGCUCUUGAAGGGCUUCACCUGGAUUUACUUUCCCCAAGAUCCCUGUCUUGUUUUUGGUGUUUUUUUUUGUUUGUUUGUUUUUUGUUCUUUGUUUUUUUAGUAUUUUAUUUAUUUGACACAGAGAGUGCAACCACGGGGAACAGCAGAGGGAGAGGGAGAAGCAGAUCCCCUGUUGAGUAGGGAGCCUGAGAUCAGGACCUGAGCCAAAAUCAGUAAGUCAAUGGACUGAGACAUCCCGUUACCCUGCCAAGUUUCCUUCUUACCCACACAUCUCGUCAACCAGUCCCAGAGCUCCUGAAGUGUUGAGGAAGGAUGGACACUUACUCAAGGUACACUGGGCUACUUUGAGAGCAAGCAACAGGACCUGUCACUGUUGUAUCUCCCACACAGGACCCAAUGUGUCAUAUACAGUAGACUUUAAAUGCAUAUUUGACACUCAGAUUUGGGUAACAUGUUCAGUGCCUCCUGGUGGCAUGGGAAUUUAAACCUAGAUCUACCCAACACACAUGCCCCACUGGUUUCCAUUCCACCAAAGUCUUACUGACUGAUACCUCAGAAAUACAUUUUACAUCAUGACUAUAGAAACACACACUUUUUAAAAAAAUAUUUAUUUAUUUGACAGAGAUCACAAGUAGGCAGAGAGGCAGGCAGCGAAAGGGGGAAGCAGGCUCCCUGCUAAGCAGAGAGCCCGAUGUGGGGCUCAAUCCCAGGACUCUGAGAUCAUGACCUGAGCCAAAGGCCAAGGCUUAACCACUGAGCCAUCCAGGCACCCCCAGACACACACUUUCAUAUAUGUGAUAGACCUUCUUUCAAUAUGUGUGAUAGACCCCUUUAUUUUCCAUCCUAUUGUUUUCCAUUGUAUUACCUGAAAUAUGUUGUGACCAUUACUUCGAUUUCUUUCUUUUUUUUUUUUUUUUAAGAUUUUAUUUAUUUAUUUGACAGACAGAGAUCCCAAGUAGGCAGAGAGGCAGGCAGAGAGAGGAGGAAGCAGGCUCCCCGCUGAGCAGAGAGCCCGAUGUGGGGCUCGAUCCCAGGACCCUGGGACCAUGACCUGAGCCGAAGGCAGAGGCUUUAACCCACUGAGCCACCCAGGCGCCCCCAUUACUUCGAUUUCUUAAUCCAACCAUAAGACUGCAACCUGGUUGCAGUUGAACAACAAACAGAGCGUUCCACCUUACUGUAGGACUCAUUCAUUCAUUCAUGGGGCUCUGGCCAUUUGCAUUAAGGUUAGGAGUUUGCAGCCUUUCCUCCUGCAGCAUCUGUGGGAGUGUCGAAGCAAGCCCUGCUUCUGCUCACUGUGUGAGCACUGCCCUUCUAGACUCAGCCCCUCUGAGAGGCAGGCAGGAAGACGAGAACAAACAUUUCCACUGCCAGAGCUUACAAACCCUUCCGCUGAAGGUGUACGUCUUCCCUGAGCUGCCACCUUUGGUGACACUGUAGGGAUUUGUUUUCUCUCAACACUUAAUUUUAUUAAGACUCAAAUAAUGAAGUUAGAUGAAGUUGAGUUAAGGAAACAAAUACCGUAUGACUCUUACCUUGACAGGAACCUGAUAUUCAGUUCUGAAAACUCUCAGUCUGAGGUGUUGGGUUUUAUUCCCCGGGGAAACUUUUCCUGAGUUUAUUCUAAAAUGCACUCAUGUUGUCAUUUUAUAUACGUGCGUUGUUAUCUCAAGUUCGCUAAUUUUGAAAGUCACGUAAAGUAAAAUUCUUUUUAUUAUAAAAUAAAUUGCAUUGGUAUUGUCCAUA